Molecule: transfer RNA, 76 nt
Filed under: Clostridiales bacterium
Lineage: Bacteria; Bacillati; Bacillota; Clostridia; Eubacteriales
Also listed under: 1 other name
Description: tRNA-Arg
Rfam family: tRNA
About the family: Transfer RNA (tRNA) molecules are approximately 80 nucleotides in length.
Source: RNAcentral
GUAUCCGUAGUCUAAUUGGAUAAAAUAUUGGCCUCCGACGCCGACGUUCUGGGUUCGAGCCCCAGCGGGUACACCA